CCAGACUCCUACGGGAGGCAGCAGUGAGGAAUAUUGGUCAAUGGUCGGGAGACUGAACCAGCCAAGCCGCGUGAGGGAGGAAGGUACAGAGUAUCGUAAACCUCUUUUGUCAGGGAACAAAGACUGGGACGCGUCCCCGGAUGAGUGUACCUGAAGAAAAAGCAUCGGCUAACUCCGUGCCAGCAGCCGCGGUAAUACGGAGGAUGCGAGCGUUAUCCGGAUUUAUUGGGUUUAAAGGGUGCGUAGGCGGGCGCUUAGGUCGGGGGUAAAAGUGCGGGGGCCAACCUCGUCGAGCCGUUGAAACUGGGUGCCUUGAGUGGGCGAGAAGUGCGCGGAAUGCGUGGUGUAGCGGUGAAAUGCAUAGAUAUCACGCAGAACUCCGAUUGCGAAGGCAGCGCACCGGCGCCCUACUGACGCUCAGGCACGAAAGCGUGGGUAUCGAACAGGAUUAGAUACCCUAGUAGCC
Molecule: ribosomal RNA, 466 nt
Filed under: uncultured bacterium
Lineage: Bacteria
Description: bacterial SSU rRNA
Rfam family: Bacterial small subunit ribosomal RNA
Source: RNAcentral